GGGUUGAGUACCUGAAUUGUGACUUACUUCCCGUGUUAUCUAAAUGUUUAAAAUCAGUCAUUGUGUUAUCGUUUACGUAAGAUAUACGGUAUCCAGUGUAUGUAAAUUUUUGGUGAAUACUGCUGCAUGGUUGGUAGAGACUGACAACACGAGGAACCAUCCGACGGAGAUAUUGAAGCGAAUUUGUGUUCCUGAAGCACAAUUUGAAGUGUUAUCUGUGGCGGCCUUCAGUGACUGCAGGACUAGCUAACUACUGCUUCACUGUGAUUAAUCGUCAGCUGUAAACAUGGCUCGUCCUUCCCCGCUGGCACCAUGUCGUCCACGCUGCCGCGCACCCGCAGUGUGAGCGCCGCCUCAACCUCCUCCUCGGGCAGCAAGCAGGACCGGAUUCGUCCAGUGUCCGUGUGUGACACCUCGUGGUCCAGGAUGACUGGCCAGGAGCUCCGUCAGCAGCACCUGGUGAGGACACCGUCACAAGCCAACAACUUGUGCACCACCGUCCCGCAGAACCUCGUGGUGCAGAACCUUGGCGGCCGCCACACGCCCACCAGGAGCAGCCUCAGACACUCCCGCAUGAUCGUCCUCUCCAAGAACGGCAAAGCACCAGUACGUGACCGGCGGUGGGCUCCCAAUAGCCUUGGUCGUGCGGGCGUGCUGGUAGUGACGGCGCAGAUCCUGGUGGGCGUGAUGGGCGUAACGCUAGCGGCCUGGUUCCUGAUGUGGGCACCCAUUCUCAAGUUUAGGGAGGUCCCCCACUAUGCAGGCGUCCCGGUGUUCCUGGCGGGGGUGUGCGGCGCCAUCCUCAUCAGUUGCUUCCAGAGGCGCCGUCACAGUACACUUGGCAGCGUCAUCAAGGGCGUGUUGGUGGCACUGUGCUGUGUCAGCGUGGUCACCUGCCUGUGUGUGUGCAUCUUUACGGCGUUGCACCUCACCCAGCUGGCUGCCAUGACCUGCCACACCGAACACUCCACCCUCGCCCACCCCGACCACAGUCUCGCCGCGCCCGCCACGAAGGCCCUGCCCGGGAUGGAGGACGACGAGGACGAGGGUGAGGGCAGCGGCGGGGGCUGGGGAGACUCGACACUCUACGAGUACGAGUACGACGAUGUGGACGCCACCCUGGAAUUCGAGACCGUGACCCUAGAGAGUGUGACGGUAGACCUUGACCAGGGCGUGCUGCUCAACAUCACGACGUGCCUGUGCGAACAGCGAGGCCCAUCUUGGCGGAGGACAAAGUCUUACGCGAACUUGAGCUGUUUGGAGGUGAACAAUAUCUUGCCCAUCCUGUUCGUGGCGUCCUGCGUGGUGACGGCCAUCGGGGCGGUUCUGUCUGCUCUCAUCCUCUACCUCCUCUGGUCAUUUAAAAAUAGUUUCUACGGUCCUGCGAAGCCAUACGAGCGAAGACCGUUUAUAUUUACAAGUAACUUUAAGAACACUGCCAAAGCCAGCAAUGGGUCGAGCAAUAAAGUGUUGAACGGUGACUCCAGGUUCAGGUGACGAAGGUAACCGUGGAGUGUUAGAGGAUGCUGUGUGGGCGCGCUCAUCUGUCUCCGGGAACACAGGAACAGUGCACACUGAACGCCGGGAGCAUCUGCCGGCCGGUCAUGCUGCCGAGCCCGGUUCCGUGAAGAUGUGGACGCGCAAGUUUUUACGCUAGAAAAUGGAAUCGGCCUGAGCUAGCAUGUAAUAUAUAAAUGCGGGUGAAAAUAUUUUAAGUUAUGUUUUAUAUAUCUGAAUGUUACUGUGUAAUAGAAUAGAAUCUCUUAACUGUAGCAUAACACGGUACCGUCAGCAAAGACGAACAUUGUCACAAAGAUCGUGCUGACUGUCAGAGGUGCAUCUCUGCUGGUCUCCUGUUGACUUACCUUCCUGCAUCUACACACUACCUAUUGUUGCCAGCCGUGCGUUGAGUCGUGAGGAAUACAACAUUGCAGUGUUCCUGCACCUCCAUUUCCAUCCGGUCCAGGAGUCGGUGCUCUCGUGGUUCCUCCGCCUCUCAAGCCGUCACCUUCAAACAUCUUGAGAUCACCUCGUAUUCUCAAACUACAUGUCUCGCAGCAACAAGUGAAAGGCGAGACUAGAGACGCUCUUCAGAACAUGGCGCGCCCCACUGUUCUGGUUCUGGCUAUCGUGGUGUGUUUUCUAAGCGCCCACCUGCCUCCCGCUGCAUCCAGGCCUGCGCUACUGAAACCGGAAGAAAGCUACACCCCAGAACAACAGGCAGUCAUUAAGAUUGUGGACGACCUACUCAACCAACUGCUGAGACAGUUUUUGCAAGAACAUGGGGGAGAUACACCGCCAUUCAGCGCUGAGGAAGAAUUUCCUUACGCCGGGAAUUCUGCGGAGGAGCAGGUGCAGCCGAGGCCUUCCCUUGUUCCCCCUGCAAGGCCACCCCACCCUGAUGGUGCCGGAGGAGCGGAAUCUUAUGAAGUGUCCAGCACAAAUCUUGGAACACAGCCAGUGAAUGGUGGACGCAUAGUCUUCCCUUCAGACUAGGAAGACAACCUAUAGGAUCUGCUUUUAAUAUGUUUUUUUUUUCUUUUAUGUAUUUGUGUGGACUUCCAAAUCAUGCAUUCAUUGUCAUAAACUUAUUCUUCGUAAAACUGAAUCUCCUCUCUUUUUUCAAAACGCACUAAGUUAUCUGUAGUACUUUUGUUAGCUAUUGCUGUCAUAUUUUUUGUAACAUAUUCAUGAAUCAAAUAUGUGCAAUAU
RNAcentral lists this unclassified non-coding RNA (2712 nucleotides) under Portunus trituberculatus (swimming crab). RNAcentral's name for it is "uncharacterized LOC123504941, transcript variant X7". The record is from RNAcentral. Lineage: Eukaryota; Metazoa; Arthropoda; Malacostraca; Decapoda; Portunidae.